GUGGGGAAUUUUGGACAAUGGGCGAAAGCCUGAUCCAGCAAUGCCGCGUGUGUGAAGAAGGCCUUCGGGUUGUAAAGCACUUUUGGCAGGGAAGAAACAGUGCGUGCUAAUACCAUGCGCGAAUGACGGUACCUGUAGAAUAAGCACCGGCUAACUACGUGCCAGCAGCCGCGGUAAUACGUAGGGUGCAAGCGUUAAUCGGAAUUACUGGGCGUAACGCGUGCGCAGGCGGCUUUGUAAGACGGAUGUGAAAGACCCGGGCUCAACCUGGGAAGUGCAUUCGUGACUGCAAGGCUAGAGUGUGUCAGAGGGAGGUGGAAUUCCGCGUGUAGCAGUGAAAUGCGUAGAGAUGCGGAGGAACACCGAUGGCGAAGGCAGCCUCCUGGGAUAACACUGACGCUCAGGCACGAAAGCGUGGGGAGCAAACAGGAUAGAAACCCUGGUAGUCC
Molecule: ribosomal RNA, 449 nt
Filed under: uncultured bacterium
Lineage: Bacteria
Description: partial 16S ribosomal RNA
Rfam family: Bacterial small subunit ribosomal RNA
Source: RNAcentral